RNAcentral lists this ribosomal RNA (468 nucleotides) under uncultured bacterium. RNAcentral's name for it is "partial 16S ribosomal RNA". It matches the Rfam family "Bacterial small subunit ribosomal RNA", at positions 28 to 507 of the family's 1533-position model. The record is from RNAcentral.
GACGAACGCUGGCGGCGUGCUUAACACAUGCAAGUCGAACGGAAAGGCCCUGCUUUUGUGGGGUGCUCGAGUGGCGAACGGGUGAGUAACACGUGAGUAACCUGCCCUUGACUUUGGGAUAACUUCAGGAAACUGGGGCUAAUACCGGAUAGGAGCUCCUGCUGCAUGGUGGGGGUUGGAAAGUUUCGGCGGUUGGGGAUGGACUCGCGGCUUAUCAGCUUGUUGGUGGGGUAGUGGCUUACCAAGGCAUUGACGGGUAGCCGGCCUGAGAGGGUGACCGGCCACGUUGGGACUGGGAUACGGCCCAGACUCCUACGGGAGGCAGCAGUGGGGAAUGUUGCACAGUGGGCGGAAGCCUGACGCAGCAACGCCGCGUGCGGGAAGACGGCCUUCGGGUUGUUAUCCGCUUUCGCCUGUGACGAGGCGUGAGUGACGGUAAUGGGUAAAGAAGCACCGGCUAACUACGUG